GUAGGUGAACCUGCGGAAGGAUCAUUCAUCAAAGUGUUUAUGGCACUUUCAAAUCCAUUACCCACCUUGUGUGCAUUGUCGGGGAGGACUCUCUCUCUCUCUCUUCUCAAUCUCCUUUCUCUCUCUCUCUCGGGAGGAGGAGGAGGAGGAGGAGGAGAAGAAGGAAAAAGGGAGGGAUUCUCCUUUUUACACAUACCAUGUUCUUCAGUAUCAGUCUACUUUUAUUGAGAAUAAAAAACUCAAAUACAAC
Molecule: unclassified non-coding RNA, 250 nt
Filed under: plant metagenome
Description: partial contains small subunit ribosomal RNA, internal transcribed spacer 1, and 5.8S ribosomal RNA
Source: RNAcentral